This 495-nucleotide ribosomal RNA is filed under the name uncultured bacterium. Its description in RNAcentral is "partial 16S ribosomal RNA". It matches the Rfam family "Bacterial small subunit ribosomal RNA", at positions 28 to 507 of the family's 1533-position model. The record is from RNAcentral.
GAUGAACGCUGGCGGCGUGCCUAAUACAUGCAAGUCGAGCGAACAGAUGAGGAGCUUGCUCCUCUGACGUUAGCGGCGGACGGGUGAGUAACACGUGGAUAACCUACCUAUAAGACUGGGAUAACUUCGGGAAACGAGCUAAUACCGGAUAAUAUAUUGAACCGCAUGGUUCAAUAGUGAAAGACGGUUUUGCUGUCACUUAUAGAUGGAUCCGCGCCGCAUUAGCUAGUUGGUAAGGUAACGGCUUACCAAGGCAACGAUGCGUAGCCGACCUGAGAGGGUGAUCGGCCACACUGGAACUGAGACACGGUCCAGACUCCUACGGGAGGCAGCAGUAGGGAAUCUUCCGCAAUGGGCGAAAGCCUGACGGAGCAACGCCGCGUGAGUGAUGAAGGUCUUCGGAUCGUAAAACUCUGUUAUUAGGGAAGAACAAAUGUGUAAGUAACUAUGCACGUCUUGACGGUACCUAAUCAGAAAGCCACGGCUAACUACGUG